CCUACGGGUGGCAGCAGUGGGGAAUAUUGGGCAAUGGGCGCAAGCCUGACCCAGCAACGCCGCGUGAAGGAAGAAGGCUUUCGGGUUGUAAACUUCUUUUCUCAGGGACGAAGAAAGUGACGGUACCUGAGGAAUAAGCCACGGCUAACUACGUGCCAGCAGCCGCGGUAAUACGUAGGUGGCAAGCGUUAUCCGGAUUUACUGGGUGUAAAGGGCGUGUAGGCGGGACUGCAAGUCAGAUGUGAAAACCACGGGCUCAACCUGUGGCCUGCAUUUGAAACUGUAGUUCUUGAGUACUGGAGAGGCAGACGGAAUUCCUAGUGUAGCGGUGAAAUGCGUAGAUAUACGGAGGAACACCAGUGGCGAAGGCGGCCUGCUGGACAUUAACUGACGCUGAGGCGCGAAAGCGUGGGGAGCAAACAGGAUUAGAUACCCGGGUAGUC
Molecule: ribosomal RNA, 443 nt
Filed under: uncultured bacterium
Lineage: Bacteria
Description: partial 16S ribosomal RNA
Rfam family: Bacterial small subunit ribosomal RNA
Source: RNAcentral